UAUGAUGAGCACGAGACUAUCCGGCACGC
Molecule: non-coding RNA, 29 nt
Filed under: Bombyx mori (domestic silkworm)
Lineage: Eukaryota; Metazoa; Arthropoda; Insecta; Lepidoptera; Bombycidae
Source: RNAcentral